Molecule: ribosomal RNA, 460 nt
Filed under: uncultured bacterium
Lineage: Bacteria
Description: partial 16S ribosomal RNA
Rfam family: Bacterial small subunit ribosomal RNA
Source: RNAcentral
CCUACGGGAGGCAGCAGUGAGGAAUAUUGGUCAAUGGGCGGAAGCCUGAACCAGCCAAGUCGCGUGAGGGAAUAAGGCCCUCCGGGUCGUAAACCUCUUUUGCCGGGGAGCAAGUGCCGGGACGAGUCCCGGUCCGGAGAGUACCCGGAGAAAAAGCAUCGGCUAACUCCGUGCCAGCAGCCGCGGUAAUACGGAGGAUGCGAGCGUUAUCCGGAUUUAUUGGGUUUAAAGGGUGCGCAGGCGGAAGAUCAAGUCAGCGGUAAAAUUGAGAGGCUCAACCUCUUCGAGCCGUUGAAACUGGUUGUCUUGAGUGAGCGAGAAGUAUGCGGAAUGCGUGGUGUAGCGGUGAAAUGCAUAGAUAUCACGCAGAACUCCGAUUGCGAAGGCAGCAUACCGGCGCUCAACUGACGCUCAUGCACGAAAGUGUGGGUAUCGAACAGGAUUAGAUACCCCAGUAGUC